GAUGAAGAACGUAGCGAAAUGCGAUACGUAAUGUGAAUUGCAGAAUUCAGUGAAUCAUCGAGUCUUUGAACGCACAUUGCGCCCGCCAGCAUUCUGGCGGGCAUGCCUGUUCGAGCGUCAUUUCAACCCUCGAGCCCGACUUCCUUGCGGAGGACGGCUCGGCGUUGGGGGACGGCACACUCCCCCCGGCUCGCCGGGGACGCCGCCCCCGAAAUUCAGUGGCGGCCCUCGGAGGCGACCUCUGCGUAGUAACUCAACCUCGCAAAGGGAAGCUCCGAGCGGCCACGCCGUGAAACCCCAACUAUAUCAAGGUUGACCUCGAAUCAGGUAGGACUACCCGCUGAACUUAAGCAUAUCAAUAAGCGGAGGA
RNAcentral lists this unclassified non-coding RNA (370 nucleotides) under soil metagenome. Its description in RNAcentral is "partial contains 5.8S ribosomal RNA, internal transcribed spacer 2, and large subunit ribosomal RNA". The stretch from base 1 to 120 matches the Rfam family "5.8S ribosomal RNA", at positions 35 to 154 of the family's 154-position model. The record is from RNAcentral.